CCUACGGGAGGCAGCAGUGGGGAAUAUUGGACAAUGGGGGGAACCCUGAUCCAGCGACGCCGCGUGAGUGAAGAAGUAUUUCGGUAUGUAAAGCUCUAUCAGCAGGGAAGAAAGAAAUGACGGUACCUGACUAAGAAGCCCCGCCUAACUACGUGCCAGCAGCCGCGGGAAUACGUAGGGGGCAAGCGUUAUCCGGAUUUACUGGGUGUAAAGGGAGCGUAGACGGUUACGCAAGUCUGGAGGUAAAGGCGGGGGCCCAACCCCCGGACUGCUUUGGAAACUGUAUAACUGGAGUGCAGGAGAGGUAAGUGGAAUUCCUAGUGUAGCGGUGAAAUGCGUAGAUAUUAGGAGGAACACCAGUGGCGAAGGCGGCUUACUGGACUGUAACUGACGUUGAGGCUCGAAAGCGUGGGGAGCAAACAGGAUUAGAUACCCCUGUAGUC
This 443-nucleotide ribosomal RNA is filed under the name uncultured bacterium. RNAcentral's name for it is "partial 16S ribosomal RNA". It matches the Rfam family "Bacterial small subunit ribosomal RNA", at positions 338 to 795 of the family's 1533-position model. The record is from RNAcentral.